This 719-nucleotide long non-coding RNA is filed under the name Hordeum vulgare. RNAcentral describes it as "long non-coding RNA (HVUL_LNC009718)". The record is from RNAcentral. Lineage: Eukaryota; Viridiplantae; Streptophyta; Magnoliopsida; Poales; Poaceae.
AUUCAUCAUUGCAUCAUUCGCAUCAUCUGCAUUGCAUCGACACUCUGUUGUCGUCAGAUUUCAAAACUUGCAUCCAUUAUUAGUUGUCGGUUCUCUCUGUUUUGCCGUUGACCAUUUCAAGACCAACCACACACGCAUGUGCCGACGACAUCGUUAAAAAUGUUGUUUUCAAAGUGUGUAUAAAACUUUCUCGUAUUUGGUUGAAACAUGACGUGUGGUCUUAAUAGUGUGUAGGUAGGCUGCCUGCCAAAUUUCGUCACAAUUGGAGUCCGUUUGAUACCCAAACCGUUAAACCUAUAGUGACACUAUAGCCGGUCCAUUAUCGGACGUUUCAGUAUUUUAAAACUCCGAUGCUGGGCUGCCUGUUUUCCCUCUCAUCCCCGCCUAUCCCCUCUGCACACCGACCCUACCAUAAUCUAGUCCGAAAACUCCCCCCAGACCCGAACCCGACGGUUGUAAGCGUUAGGUUCGGAUCAACCCCGUAAUACCCCAAACCAUCAUCGGUGUGUCAAUUGGUCUCCCUAACCUAGUAUUCUCAGCCAUCCAAUUUAAUCGGAGGGCCAAUUAAACCCCGUAAAUUCACUUGCCACUUAUAUAUACAAAUGCGGAUCAAAUGCCUACGCUAACCCUAGCCCAUUCUAACCUUAGUGCCAGGAAGAGCAUCCGCUCGAUUCCUUCCACCCUCCUAGUGCCGUCAUCACGAGUGACUAACACUCCUC